GACAGAGGGGGCAAGCGUUGUUCGGAAUUACUGGGCGUAAAGGGCUCGUAGGCGGCCAACUAAGUCGGAUGUGAAAUCCCCAGGCUUAACCUGGGAACUGCAUCCGAUACUGGAUGGCUUGAAUUCGGGAGAGGGAUGCAGAAUUCCAGGUGUAGCGGUGAAAUGCGUAGAUAUCAGGAAGAACACCCGUGGCGAAGGCGGUUCUCUGGGACGGUACUGACGCUGAGACGCGAAAGCGUGGGGAGCGAACAGG
RNAcentral lists this ribosomal RNA (253 nucleotides) under uncultured bacterium. RNAcentral's name for it is "partial 16S ribosomal RNA". It matches the Rfam family "Bacterial small subunit ribosomal RNA", at positions 524 to 776 of the family's 1533-position model. The record is from RNAcentral.